RNAcentral lists this ribosomal RNA (870 nucleotides) under uncultured bacterium. RNAcentral's name for it is "bacterial SSU rRNA". It matches the Rfam family "Bacterial small subunit ribosomal RNA", at positions 29 to 914 of the family's 1533-position model. The record is from RNAcentral.
GUGACGCUGGCGGCGCGCUUAAUGCAUGCAAGUCGAGCGUGAUCGUGGCUUCGGCCACAAUGAUAAAGCGGCAGACGGCUGAGUAACGCGUGAGUAAUCUGCCCUCCGGUGGGGUAUAGCCUCGGGAAACUGAGGAUAAUCCCGCAUACGACCCGCAUCCUUUGGGGUGCAGGUGAAAGGCUUCGGUCGCCGGAGGAGGAGCUCGCGUCCUAUCAGGUUGUUGGUGAGGUAAUGGCUCACCAAGCCGAUGACGGGUAGCUGGUCUGAGAGGAUGACCAGCCAGAGGGGGACUGAGAACGGCCCCCACUCCUACGGGAGGCAGCAGCAGGGAAUCUUGGGCAAUGGGCGAAAGCCUGACCCAGCGACGUCGCGUGGGGGACGAAGGCCUUCGGGUUGUAAACCCCUUUUCCGAGGGAAGAGAAAGGACGGUACCUCGGGAAUAAGCCCCGGCUAACUACGUGCCAGCAGCCGCGGUAAUACGUAGGGGGCAAGCGUUACCCGGAAUCACUGGGCGUAAAGUGCGCGUAGGCGGUUGGAUAAGUCUCUUGUGAAAGCUCCCGGCUCAACUGGGAGAGGUCAAGGGAUACUAUUCGACUUGAGGACAGCAGAGGUAAGCAGAAUUCCCGGUGUAGCGGUGGAAUGCGUAGAUAUCGGGAGGAACACCAGUGGCGAAAGCGGCUUACUGGGCUGUAUCUGACGCUGAGGCGCGAGAGCGUGGGGAGCAAACUGGAUUAGAUACCCAGGUAGUCCACGCCCUAAACGAUGGAUACUAGGUAUGGGGGGGUAUUGACCCCCUCCGUGCCGUAGCUAACGCGUUAAGUAUCCCGCCUGGGGACUACGGCCGCAAGGCUAAAACUCAAAGGAAUUGAC